GACGAACGCUGGCGGCGUGCUUAACACAUGCAAGUCGAACGGAAAGGCCCUGCUUUUGUGGGGUGCUCGAGUGGCGAACGGGUGAGUAACACGUGAGUAACCUGCCCUUGACUUUGGGAUAACUUCAGGAAACUGGGGCUAAUACCGGAUAGGAGCUCCUGCUGCAUGGUGGGGGUUGGAAAGUUUCGGCGGUUGGGGAUGGACUCGCGGCUUACCAGCUUGUUGGUGGGGUAGUGGCUUACCAAGCCUUUGACGGGUAGCCGGCCUGAGAGGGUGACCGGCCACAUUGGGACUGCGAUACGGCCCAGACUGCUACGGGAGGCAGCGGGGGGGAAUAUUGCACAAUGGGCGGAAGUCUGAUGCAGAAACGCCGCGUGCGGGAUGACGGCCUGCGGGUUGUAAAACGCUUUCGCCUGUGACGAAGCGGGAGUGACGGUAAUGGGUAAAGAAGCACCGGCUAACUACGUG
This 468-nucleotide ribosomal RNA is filed under the name uncultured bacterium. RNAcentral describes it as "partial 16S ribosomal RNA". It matches the Rfam family "Bacterial small subunit ribosomal RNA", at positions 28 to 507 of the family's 1533-position model. The record is from RNAcentral.